Molecule: ribosomal RNA, 434 nt
Filed under: uncultured bacterium
Lineage: Bacteria
Description: partial 16S ribosomal RNA
Rfam family: Bacterial small subunit ribosomal RNA
Source: RNAcentral
AGCGAACGCUGGCGGCAUGCCUAACACAUGCAAGUCGAACGAACCUUUCGGGGUUAGUUGCGGACGGGGGAGUAACACGUGGGAACGUACCCUUAGGUUCGGAAUAACUCACUGAAACUUGUCCUAAUACCGAAGGUGCUCUUCGGGGGAAAGAUUUAUCGCCUUUGGAUGGGCCCGCGUCUGAUUAGCUAGUUGGUUGAGGUAAUGGCACACCAAGGCGACGAUCAGUAGCUGUGUCGAGAGGAUGAUAAGCCACAUUGGGACUGAGACACGGCCCAAACUGCUACGGGAGGGAGCAGUGGGGAAUACUGCGCGAUGGGCGAAAGUGUGACGCAGCCAUGCCGGGUAAAUGAUGAAGGUCGUAGGAUUGUAAAAUUCUUUCAGCGGGGACGAUAAUGACGGUACCGGGAGAAGAAGCCCCGGCUAACUUCGUG